CCUAGGGGUGGCUGCAGUGGGGAAUAUUGGACAAUGGGCGAAAGCCUGAUCCAGCCAUGCCGCGUGUGUGAAGAAGGCCUUCGGGUUGUAAAGCACUUUCAGUGGGGAAGAAAGCCUUGGGGCUAAUACCCUCGAGGAAGGACAUCACCCACAGAAGAAGCACCGGCUAACUCCGUGCCAGCAGCCGCGGUAAUACGGAGGGUGCGAGCGUUAAUCGGAAUUACUGGGCGUAAAGCGCGCGUAGGCGGUCUGAUAAGCCGGUUGUGAAAGCCCCGGGCUCAACCUGGGAACGGCAUCCGGAACUGUCAGGCUAGAGUGCAGGAGAGGAAGGUAGAAUUCCCGGUGUAGCGGUGAAAUGCGUAGAGAUCGGGAGGAAUACCAGUGGCGAAGGCGGCCUUCUGGACUGACACUGACGCUGAGGUGCGAAAGCGUGGGUAGCAAACAGGAUUAGAUACCCAGUAGUC
Molecule: ribosomal RNA, 464 nt
Filed under: Vreelandella stevensii
Lineage: Bacteria; Pseudomonadati; Pseudomonadota; Gammaproteobacteria; Oceanospirillales; Halomonadaceae
Description: partial 16S ribosomal RNA
Rfam family: Bacterial small subunit ribosomal RNA
Source: RNAcentral